This 524-nucleotide ribosomal RNA is filed under the name uncultured bacterium. RNAcentral's name for it is "partial 16S ribosomal RNA". It matches the Rfam family "Bacterial small subunit ribosomal RNA", at positions 28 to 523 of the family's 1533-position model. The record is from RNAcentral.
GACGAACGCUGGCGGCGUGCCUAAUACAUGCAAGUCGAGCGCAGGAAGCUGACGGAACUCUUCGGAGGGAAGGCAGUGGAAUGAGCGGCGGACGGGUGAGUAACACGUAAGGAACCUGCCUCAAGGAUUGGGAUAACUCCGAGAAAUCGGAGCUAAUACCGGAUAGUUCAACGGACCGCAUGGUCCGCUGAUGAAAGGCGCUCCGGCGUCACCUUGAGAUGGCCUUGCGGUGCAUUAGCUAGUUGGUGGGGUAACGGCCCACCAAGGCGACGAUGCAUAGCCGACCUGAGAGAGUGAUAGGCCACACAGGGACUGGGACACGGCCCAGACUCCUACGGGAGGCAGCAGUAGGGAAUCUUCCACAAUGGACGAAAGUCUGAUGGAGCAACGCCGCGUGGGUGAUGAAGGUUUUCGGAUCGUAAAACUCUGUUGUAAGGGAAGAACACGUACGAGAGGAAAUGCUCGUACCUUGACGGUACCUUACGAGAAAGCCACGGCUAACUACGUGCCAGCCGCCGCGGUAA